Molecule: ribosomal RNA, 465 nt
Filed under: Vreelandella stevensii
Lineage: Bacteria; Pseudomonadati; Pseudomonadota; Gammaproteobacteria; Oceanospirillales; Halomonadaceae
Description: partial 16S ribosomal RNA
Rfam family: Bacterial small subunit ribosomal RNA
Source: RNAcentral
CCUACGGUGUGCUGCAGUGGGGAAUAUUGGACAAUGGGCGAAAGCCUGAUCCAGCCAUGCCGCGUGUGUGAAGAAGGCCUUCGGGUUGUAAAGCACUUUCAGUGGGGAAGAAAGCCUUGGGGCUAAUACCCUCGAGGAAGGACAUCACCCACAGAAGAAGCACCGGCUAACUCCGUGCCAGCAGCCGCGGUAAUACGGAGGGUGCGAGCGUUAAUCGGAAUUACUGGGCGUAAAGCGCGCGUAGGCGGUCUGAUAAGCCGGUUGUGAAAGCCCCGGGCUCAACCUGGGAACGGCAUCCGGAACUGUCAGGCUAGAGUGCAGGAGAGGAAGGUAGAAUUCCCGGUGUAGCAGUGAAAUGCGUAGAGAUCGGGAGGAAUACCAGUGGCGAAGGCGGCCUUCUGGACUGACACUGACGCUGAGGUGCGAAAGCGUGGGUAGCAAACAGGAUUAGAUACCCCGGUAGUC